GAUGAACGCUGGCGGCGUGCCUAAUACAUGCAAGUCGAACGCACAGCGAAAGGUGCUUGCACCUUUCAAGUGAGUGGCGAACGGGUGAGUAACACGUGGACAACCUGCCUCAAGGCUGGGGAUAACAUUUGGAAACAGAUGCUAAUACCGAAUAAAACUCAGUGUCGCAUGACACAAAGUUAAAAGGCGCUUUGGCGUCACCUAGAGAUGGAUCCGCGGUGCAUUAGUUAGUUGGUGGGGUAAAGGCCUACCAAGACAAUGAUGCAUAGCCGAGUUGGGAGACUGAUCGGCCACAUUGGGACUGAGAAACGGCCCAAACUCCUACGGGAGGCUGCAGUAGGGAAUCUUCCACAAUGGGCGAAAGCCUGAUGGAGCAACGCCGCGUGUGUGAUGAAGGCUUUCGGGUCGUAAAGCACUGUUGUAUGGGAAGAACAGCUAGAAUAGGGAAUGAUUUUAGUUUGACGGUACCAUACCAGAAAGGGACGGCUAAAUACGUGCCAGCAGCCGCGGUAA
RNAcentral lists this ribosomal RNA (513 nucleotides) under uncultured bacterium. RNAcentral's name for it is "partial 16S ribosomal RNA". It matches the Rfam family "Bacterial small subunit ribosomal RNA", at positions 28 to 523 of the family's 1533-position model. The record is from RNAcentral.